GCAAGUCGAACGUGAAAAUAUCUUCGGAUAUGAGUAAAGUGGCGCACGGGUGAGUAACGCGUAGGUGACCAACCGAGUAGUGGGGGAUAACCUAGGGAAACCUGGGCUAAUACCGCAUAAGCAAAUAAUUCCUGAAAGUUAAUUUGGAAAGAUGGCCUCUGCUUGCAUGCCAUUGCUACUUGACGGGCCUGCGAGACAUUAGCUUGAUGGUGGGGUAAUGGCCUACCAUGGCGACGAUGUCUAGCCGGUCUGAGAGGAUGAUC
Molecule: ribosomal RNA, 263 nt
Filed under: uncultured bacterium
Lineage: Bacteria
Description: partial 16S ribosomal RNA
Rfam family: Bacterial small subunit ribosomal RNA
Source: RNAcentral